This 1372-nucleotide ribosomal RNA is filed under the name uncultured Rozellomycota. RNAcentral describes it as "SSU rRNA". It matches the Rfam family "Eukaryotic small subunit ribosomal RNA", at positions 373 to 1647 of the family's 1831-position model. Lineage: Eukaryota; Fungi; Rozellomycota. The record is from RNAcentral.
GGGUUCGAUUCCGGAGAGGGAGCCUGAGAAACGGCUACCACAUCCAAGGAAGGCAGCAGGCGCGCAAAUUACCCAAUGGGAAUACCCCGAGGUAGUGACAAUAAAUAACAAUGCAAAGCCAUUUUGGUUCUGCAAUUGGAAUGAGUACAAUUUAAAUCCCUUAACGAGGAACAAUUGGAGGGCAAGUCUGGGGCCAGCAGCCGCGGUAAUUCCAGCUCCAAUAGCGUAUAUUAAAGUUGUUGCAGUUAAAAAGCUCGUAGUUGAAUUUCGGACUCUGUAUGUUGGUUAAACGCAAGUUGAUACUAGCAUUGCAGAGUCUUACCUUUUGGAGAACCAAGGUGCUCUUUACUGAGUGCUUUGGGGAACCAAAACUUUUACUUUGAAAAAAUUAGAGUGUUUAAGGCAGGCUUACGCUUGAAUACAUUAGCAUGGAAUAAUAGAAUAGGACUUUGGUUCUAUUUUGUUGGUUUCUAGGACCAGAGUAAUGAUUAAUAGGGAUAGUUGGGGGCAUUAGUAUUGAGCAGUCAGAGGUGAAAUUCUUGGAUUUGCUCAAGGCUAACAACUGCGAAAGCAUUUGCCAAGGAUGUUUUCAUUAAUCAAGAACGAAAGUUAGGGGAUCGAAGACGAUUAGAUACCGUCGUAGUCUUAACCAUAAACGAUGCCGACUAGGGAUCGGUGGGAUUCGUUAUGAACUCAUCGGCACCUUAUGAGAAAUCAAAGUGUUUGGGUUCCGGGGGGAGUAUGGUCGCAAGGCUGAAACUUAAAGGAAUUGACGGAAGGGCACCACCAGGAGUGGAGCCUGCGGCUUAAUUUGACUCAACACGGGGAAACUCACCAGGUCCAGACAUAGUAAGGAUUGACAGAUUGAGAGCUCUUUCUUGAUUCUAUGGGUGGUGGUGCAUGGCCGUUCUUAGUUGGUGGAGUGAUUUGUCUGGUUAAUUCCGAUAACGAACGAGACUCUAGCCUGCUAAAUAGGUGCCGGGUUUUUACAUCUCCUCGCAAGGGGAGAGUGGAGUGUGUGGUUGUCGGGAUCCUGGGCUGUGGUGGUCGUUUAGGCUGCGGGGGGCAACUCUCGUGGUCUGGGCGGCUGUCAUAGUUCACCCGGUGUACGCACACUUCGCGUCCGGCAUUUUUCUUCUUAGAGGGACAAGCGGCGUCCAGCCGCGUGACAGUGAGCAAUAACAGGUCUGUGAUGCCCUUAGAUGUCCUGGGCCGCACGCGCGCUACACUGAAGGAAUCAGCGUGUUAUUCAUCCCUGUCUGAAAAGACCGGGCAACCGCUGAACCUCCUUCGUGGUUGGGAUUGGGGACUGCAAUGAUCCCCAUGAACCAGGAAUCCCUAGUAGGCGCGGGUCACUAGCCCGCGUCGAUUA